RNAcentral lists this ribosomal RNA (427 nucleotides) under uncultured bacterium. Its description in RNAcentral is "bacterial SSU rRNA". It matches the Rfam family "Bacterial small subunit ribosomal RNA", at positions 295 to 716 of the family's 1533-position model. The record is from RNAcentral.
AGAGGAUGAUCAGCCACACUGGGACUGAGACACGGCCCAGACUCCGUACGGGAGGCAGCAGUGGGGAAUAUUGGACAAGUGGGCGCAAGCCUGACUCCAGCCACGCCGCGUGAGUGAUGAAGGCCUUCGGGUCGUAAAGCUCUGUGGGGAGGGACGAACGGCGCCAUGAAGAGUGGCGAUUGACGGUACCUCCUUAGCAAGCACCGGCUAACUUCGUGCCAGCAGCCGCGGUAAUACGAAGGGUGCAAACGUUGCUCGGAAUCAUUGGGCGUAAAGCGCACGUAGGCGGCUUUCUAAGUCGGAUGUGAAAUCCCUCGGCUUAACCGAGGACGUGCAUCCGAAACUGGGAGGCUUGAGUAUGGAAGAGGGUCGCAGAAUUCCCGGUGUAGAGGUGAAAUUCGUAGAUAUCGGGAGGAAUACCAGUGGC